UGGGGAAUAUUGCACAAUGGGCGCAAGCCUGAUGCAGCCAUGCCGCGUGUGUGAAGAAGGCCUUCGGGUUGUAAAGCACUUUCAGCGAGGAGGAAGGUGGUGAACCUAAUACGUUCAUCAAUUGACGUUACUCGCAGAAGAAGCACCGGCUAACUCCGUGCCAGCAGCCGCGGUAAUACGGAGGGUGCAAGCGUUAAUCGGAAUUACUGGGCGUAAAGCGCACGCAGGCGGUUUGUUAAGUCAGAUGUGAAAUCCCCGGGCUCAACCUGGGAACUGCAUUUGAAACUGGCAAGCUAGAGUCUCGUAGAGGGGGGUAGAAUUCCAGGUGUAGCGGUGAAAUGCGUAGAGAUCUGGAGGAAUACCGGUGGCGAAGGCGGCCCCCUGGACGAAGACUGACGCUCAGGUGCGAAAGCUUGGGGAGCAAACAGGAUUAGAUACCCUGGUAGUCCACGCUGUAAACGAUGUCGAUUUGGAGGUUGUGCCCUUGAGGCGUGGCUUCCGGAGCUAACGCGUUAAAUCGACCGCCUGGGGAGUACGGCCGCAAGGUUAAAACUCAAAGGAAUUGAC
Molecule: ribosomal RNA, 567 nt
Filed under: uncultured bacterium
Lineage: Bacteria
Description: partial 16S ribosomal RNA
Rfam family: Bacterial small subunit ribosomal RNA
Source: RNAcentral